Non-coding RNA from Nerophis lumbriciformis (worm pipefish), 535 nucleotides. Lineage: Eukaryota; Metazoa; Chordata; Actinopteri; Syngnathiformes; Syngnathidae. The record is from RefSeq and is a predicted model, not a curated record.
GGUGUUUACAAACAGACGACCACAGCUGAAGUAGAUUGUGAGCUUGGAGAGGUCCUGAAACUGGCCACUUUUCGAAAGGGAGGUUCAAAGUUUGAGGAGAAGAGGAGGAAUUAAGAGGAAGCGACGGCGAAGAAGGGCAAAGGGAAGUGUAAAAAGGAAAUGGACAGUGAGAUGAGUGACCAGGAAGCGACGGCGAAGAAGGGCAAAGGGAAGUGUACAAAGAAAAGGGACAGUGAGAUGAGUGACCAGGAAGUGAAGAAGAAGAAAACAGGGAAAGGGAAAAGAACCAAGCAAACGCUAGUGAGACCAGUGAGCAUUGAGCAGGAAGAGAACCAACAAGAAGGGGCAGGAGUACACUGACGCGCACGACCAAGACCACAGCAUUCCAUUUCUAUUCCAUCCAUCCAUCCAUCUUCUUCCGCUUAUCCGAGGUCGGGUCGCGGGGGCAGCAGCCUAAGCAGGGAAGCCCAGACUUCCCUCUCCCCAGCCACUUCGUCCAGCUCUUCCUGUGGGACCCCGAGGCGUUCCCAGGCCA